RNA transcript from Chlorocebus sabaeus (green monkey), 906 nucleotides. It is a transcript of the gene named KANTR integral membrane protein, with no coding region annotated. Lineage: Eukaryota; Metazoa; Chordata; Mammalia; Primates; Cercopithecidae. The record is from RefSeq and is a predicted model, not a curated record.
CACUCCUCCAAUGGGAGCCGGGGAGCCGUCUGUAGCGGCGUAGGCCCGUGCCCCUGCUCGCGCUGCAACCCGUGGAAGGGUUGCGUCCAGUGUAUCCUUCCAGGUCUUGCGGUAGUCCUCUCGUAUCUGUGCGCGCGCAGGAGGGACAGCGGCGGCGACGGCCGGAGGUGUACGGUCAGCGGGUUGCGGAGGAUCGUGCGGGUAGCAAAGGGAGGCCGAGUGCUCCUGCGGCUCCCAGACGGCAAACGGUUGCUUCCUCUACUGAAGUCUUGAAACCCCUGAAAGUCAUCCCUGAGGGUUGGAGUUAACUUCUUCUACACUCCUGUUAAUGUUGAUAUUUUGACCUCCUCCCAUGAAUCACAAAUGUUCUUAAUGGCAUCUAGAAUGGAACUAACCUGUCAGGUACUGAGAGGCUUUGAAGAUGGCUCUUCAGGUUGGGGACACGCCUUUGUUAAGGGGCAAGACUGCUGCCUGGAGUUGAUUCACAUACUCAGAGGUCUGAGGAAGAGCAUAUGGCUGUCUCUUUUGGAAUGGGGAGAGAUAUUCAUGUCCCACAUAAAUGAGCACCAGAGAGAGUCCACUGCAGAAGAGGAGCUCAAUCAAGUAGACAGCUCAUCUUACUUGAUUGCUGUGAUGAAGCAAGCUGCCAUAUUGUGAGCCACCCUAUGAUAAGGUGCACGUGGCAAGGAACCUGAGAGUGACCCCCAGCCAACAGCCAGCAAGACUGAAUAUGCCAACAGCCACAUGAGUCAGCGUGAAAGCAGAUCCUUUCCCAGCCAAGCCUUGAGAUGACUGUAGCCCCAGCUCACACUCUGCUGGCUGUGAGACCCUGAAAUAGAAACUCAGCUAAGUUGUGCCCAGAUUCCUAACCACAGGACUGUGAAAUAAAAUGUUGUUUUAAGCCAC